AUUGAACGCUGGCGGCAUGCCUUACACAUGCAAGUCGAACGGCAGCACGGGAGCAAUCCUGGUGGCGAGUGGCGAACGGGCGAGUAAUAUAUCGGAACGUGCCCAGUCGUGGGGGGAUAACGUAGCGAAAGCUACGCUAAUACCGCAUACGAUCUAUGGAUGAAAGCGGGGGAUCGCAAGACCUCGCGCGAUUGGAGCGGCCGAUAUCAGAUUAGGUAGUUGGUGAGGUAAAGGCUCACCAAGCCGACGAUCUGUAGCUGGUCUGAGAGGACGACCAGCCACACUGGGACUGAGACACGGCCCAGACUCCUACGGGAGGCAGCAGUGGGGAAUUUUGGACAAUGGGCGCAAGCCUGAUCCAGCAAUGCCGCGUGCAGGAUGAAGGCCUUCGGGUUGUAAACUGCUUUGUACGGAACGAAACGGUGAGCUCUAAUACAGUUUGCUAAUGACGGUACCGUAAGAAUAAGCACCGGCUAACUACGUG
Molecule: ribosomal RNA, 484 nt
Filed under: uncultured bacterium
Lineage: Bacteria
Description: bacterial SSU rRNA
Rfam family: Bacterial small subunit ribosomal RNA
Source: RNAcentral